AACGCCUCUCCCGGGAACACGGCAACGCCGCCCCCGGCGGCCGCCCUUACCUGCGCCGGGCUCACAUGGCGGGGCCGGGGCCCGCGGAGCCCCCCCCGGCGCCGCUCGGCCGCCGCCCUGCGCGGGGCCGCAGGUAUGUCAUGAGUGCGAGCGCGGCUCCAGGUGAGCCGGGCACACCUACAGGAAGGCAGGCGGGCCGCCCUGAUUGGCGUGCGGGGCCGGCGGCCGCGCUCCGACGGCACCGCGGCGGGGCAGGGCAGGGCAGGGCAGGGCGGCCGAGGGGCCGCGGCAGACACGGCGGCUCUGGCCACGGCCGCUCUGGCCCCGGCCGGCACAGCCGCUGCCACGUCCGAGCCGAAGGAUGUGCUGUGAAGAUUUCAGCAAAAGAGAAAGAGGGAGCUUGGCUCAACCACCAGAGAAGCCCUGCAGCCCACACCCAGGCAAUCCUGAACCCGUGAGACCCGUGUGGAGUCUCCCAGGCAGGAAAACUCCCCUCAGAAGUGGCACACUGAGAACUCUUCCCUGGCCAGCCACAGAAUCAUCCUUGUGCCUGCUGUUGCCUUCUGAUUCAAUGACUCCUUUCAUUAGUUUGUGUGGGUGCCUUUCUUCAGCAGAGUGGAUCAGCUCCUGCAGCUGAGAUUCCCAUUCCACAUCACUGCAUUUACAGUCAGUUGCAAGGAAAGGGAUGCUUCAAAUUCCCAAGAGCUGACUCUGGAUCAUGUCUCUCUUAGUUUGUUGUCAGACCUCUGGGACAUUAUAUAAAUAGCUAGUGCAUAUUCCCACUGCAUUUUCUAAGUUCCUAGCAGUUGGCAGCGGGUUGGUUGGUCAUCCUGACUGGAAAACUGCUCCUCUUCUAUCCAGAAAAGGGCAACUUACUGUCUGAGGUGGGCUUAACCUUUCCCCCUGUCCUUGGCACCUCCAGCAGCGGCAGAGGCAGUUUUCUGUUUGAUUUUGUGAAUCGUAUCUUGAAAUACCUUGCUUUCUCUGCCUGCUGCACAGAGUUUGAGUGCCUGAACACAUCUGGAGCUCAGCAGAGUGUGAGCAGGAGAGAGCUUGUCCUGUGCUGUGAGUACGCCACAUGGAUUGGGCUGCAUUGUCUCUCAGCCCACCAAACUCUGGGCUGCAGCAGCUGAGUAUGCACCUUCCCCUUCAAGGAUAUACUUCCUUGGUGUGUAUACAUUUAUAUAUAUAUCCUUGGUAUGUCCCUUCCCUGCAAAGAGGCCCAGCAGUGCCAAGAGCAGGCCCCUGUACCCUGAAGUGCUCCUGCUUCCUGCAGUGCCUUGUGCUAUGUCAGGCUGAGGGGCAGUUGGGAUAUGAACCUCCCACUCCGACAUCCUCCUCGUAAACAUCCCGUCCCACUCAAGUCCUGUGCUGUCACAUCCUCCCUGCUCUGCCCAGAUGCUAUUCUGGGUUUAGUUCUAUAUGCAGAGCACACAGCUGGGCAUGCCAAAAUCCAGGCAGGCAGCAGGGCAGAACAGUAACUUGGUUCAGCUGCUGACAUAUUACAAGUAUUGCAGAGGAGGAGAGUUGUUGAAAGGUCUUAAAACUAAAAUCAUCUGCUUGAGCCCUCCUUGGAAAGCCAGUUUGCUCCCCUAGGUGUGUUCAGCAGCUGUACCUUACUCCAAGAGAUGCAAACCUGUGCACAUGGCAUGAAAAACGUUGGUAAUAAUGGAAGGGAGCAGAGCAGAGAGCUCAGAAAGUGCAGCACAGUGUUUACACAAGCAGCACGUACAACACCCAUCCCCGGUGAGUCAGUCCUGGCCGUUUCCUUCAUUUCCUCCAAGGCUCGCUGGGAACAUCCAGCAGUAGCAGCCCUUCUGAAAUCCAGUCAUCUCCUUUCCUGCCUCUUGUUUACAGCUUUCCUUCAGCAGGGAGCAGAGUCCCAGCCUCCAGCACUACAUUUUCACUGCAGCAGGCUGAGAGAAGUGCAGACCCUCCCCUGGCCUCAGCUCAGCUUUGGUACCGCAGUGCUCUUGUUGCUCUUAUGGGUGCCUGCACCUUGAGCUACAGCAGGCGCUGAGGUAAGAGAGGAAAAAGUGUCUCAGUUGCACAAUAGGGUUUUGGUUUUUUUUAAUCUUGAAUGCAGCUUUAUCAUUGACAGAGGUUCUUUAUCCCUACAGCCGCACCUUUGGAUUCAGUCAGGUAGGGUAGAAAGAAUGCAGUGGGGGAUUAGGUUAAGUGUGCUAACCAUUCCUCAGAGAUACAGGCUGGAGCUUCCCUGCUUCAGAUUGAGGUGUAUCUCAUGCUCUUGAUUUCCCCACAUGACAGCAGCUAGGGAGGAGGACUAUUUUUAGCUUUUGUUUCUUGGUUUGUUUACAGGAAGUUCUUAAUUUGUGGGAGUGAGCUUGGUUCUGUCUUAGUCUGAGAAUCCACUUCAGUGCCAGUUGUGGAUGCAGUUACAAGGGUGAACUGCUGCUGUUGUCUGGAAGAGGCAUCAUUUAUCCCAGGUGUUCAAGAAACUAUGGGCUUCACACAGAAAUAUACUGAUUUCUGAGAUAUUUCCUGAAAUUUGUUCAAGGAGAUGUCCAGGCAGCUGUGACACACACAGAACUGGGAAAUUCUUUUGGGUAGUAUGGAUAGAAAUGCUUUUCUGUGUGAAACUAAUUAUAAAUCUACAUUGCUUCCAUAACCUGAGUUAAUAACAAUAGCUCUGAGACAAAACCCAUAUUGUCAAGAAAUGAACAUCCCAAGACAAGAACAGACCUAAAUGGUCGUCCCCCAUUUCCUUCUCAAGUGCCUUCUCCUGGGAAUUCCAAAUAGCCUGCAGCCAGCAAGUGACCUAGAUACAAUGCUUUGUCUGCUCUUAUGGAGUAAAACCAGGAGCAAAAUGAUCCACCCAAAUUAUAUAUCUUUAUAAUCCUUAUUCAACUUCGUCCAGGUUUAGUUUUUUUUUUUUUUUUUUCCCAUACAAAAAGCAGUAAGAAUUGUUUGUACAAAUGGAUACCUGCAUAUGAACCAUGAAGGGAUAGUUUUUUGUCAUGAUGAAUUAUGUACCAGUUACAGUGAAGGUCUACAUUGGAUGGCUUAAGUGUGAAUGGCCCUUUUAGUGUGUUGUACAAAUCUUUUCCAAAGUAAUUGCAGUGCCUGGCCUGACGUGCAUGUCAGGCCAUUGUCCUACACAGCAAAAUUCCCCUUUUCUAACAGGGUCAGCCAGGAAAAUUUAAACAAAUGGACAAGGCUGCAGACUGUCUUGAGACAAAGGCUACUCUUAGGGGCAUGACAGUAAGGGAUGGUCUGGAGAGUCCCUGCCUGUCAGCCAUGUAAGGUAGUAAAAGGAUGUUUUUAUUUGCACACAUCCUGUAGCCUGACAUUGCCCAAUAGUUUGCUUGAUGAUAAGCUCCUGCCUGUUCUAAAAGCGAUGAGGUGGUUCUGAACUUGUGGAUGACGGCCUGGGGGAGGCUGAUGUGCUUUUUUCCCAGCUCAGUUUAUAGCUGGGAAAUCUUUCUCGAUACCUUGAAAUCUAUCUUGAUAUCUUUUUUUUUUAUAUCAAAGGAAAUGACUGCUCAUGCCACAGCCUCAGAACGGUGAGGGCUGCACACAUGCAAAUGUUGGUUUCGUUGACCUUCCCUAAUUUGGAUGGAAUUGAGGGUAGGAAUGGCCAGUCUCAAACAGCAAAAGCAGCCAUGAUCGCCUCAGAUGUUACUUCAGUUUUGCCAAAGAUGUAAAAAAUGUCAGCUGGACAGAAGGGAAGACAAACUACUGCUCAAAGCAUUGCUACAAACUGAAGAAAGAAAUCCCCACAAUGUUUCUACUGCUCAAGACUUCACAUGAACAACUGGAGCAAAACAUGACUGAAAACUUCACAUCUAUUUGCUUAUAUAUUAUUUUUUCAAAAGACAGAAGGAAAUAGCUUGAAAGUUAGUCCAAUUCCAUUAAAAUCCUUUUAUUUGGAAUUAAUAAAAUAUGGAUUCCUUUCA
Molecule: long non-coding RNA, 3917 nt
Filed under: Lonchura striata (white-rumped munia)
Lineage: Eukaryota; Metazoa; Chordata; Aves; Passeriformes; Estrildidae
Description: domestica (Bengalese finch) lncRNA (ENSLSDG00000008524.1)
Source: RNAcentral